GCUCAGAUUGAACGCUGGCGGCAGGCCUAACACAUGCAAGUCGAGCGGCAGCACAAGGGAGUUUACUUCUGUGGUGGCGAGCGGCGGACGGGUGAGUAAUGCCUAGGGAUCUGCCCAGUCGAGGGGGAUAACAGUUGGAAACGACUGCUAAUACCGCAUACGCCCUACGGGGGAAAGGAGGGGACCUUCGGGCCUUCCGCGAUUGGAUGAACCUAGGUGGGAUUAGCUAGUUGGUGAGGUAAUGGCUCACCAAGGCGACGAUCCCUAGCUGUUCUGAGAGGAUGAUCAGCCACACUGGGACUGAGACACGGCCCAGACUCCUACGGGAGGCAGCAGUGGGGAAUAUUGCACAAUGGGGGAAACCCUGAUGCAGCCAUGCCGCGUGUGUGAAGAAGGCCUUCGGGUUGUAAAGCACUUUCAGUAGGGAGGAAAGGGUGUAGCUUAAUACGCUAUAUCUGUGACGUUAC
Molecule: ribosomal RNA, 467 nt
Filed under: Shewanella sp. A70
Lineage: Bacteria; Pseudomonadati; Pseudomonadota; Gammaproteobacteria; Alteromonadales; Shewanellaceae
Description: bacterial SSU rRNA
Rfam family: Bacterial small subunit ribosomal RNA
Source: RNAcentral